This is a non-coding RNA of Podarcis lilfordi (Lilford's wall lizard), 74 nucleotides long. NCBI's taxonomy places the organism in Eukaryota, Metazoa, Chordata, Lepidosauria, Squamata, Lacertidae. The record is from the annotation of a GenBank genome assembly.
GCCUGGAUAGCUCAGCUGGUGAAAGUGUUGUGCUGAUAACGCCAAGGUUGCAGGUUUGAUCCCUGUGUGGGACA